RNAcentral lists this ribosomal RNA (522 nucleotides) under Felisacus sp. WCW-2003. RNAcentral describes it as "eukaryotic LSU rRNA". It matches the Rfam family "Eukaryotic large subunit ribosomal RNA", at positions 666 to 1138 of the family's 3401-position model. The record is from RNAcentral. Lineage: Eukaryota; Metazoa; Arthropoda; Insecta; Hemiptera; Miridae.
CCAAGGAGUUUAGCGUGUGCGCGAGUCAUUGGGCAUUAAAACUCAAAGGCGGAAUGAAAGUGAAGGGAAGUUUACUUCCUCAGGGAGGAUGGGGAACGAUCCCUCUAAAGGAUCGCCUCGCACUCCUCGGGGCGUCUCAUUCUCAUUGCGAGAGGAGGCGCACCUAGAGCGUACACGCUGAUACCCGAAAGAUGGUGAACUAUGCCUGGCCAGGACGAAGCCAGGGGAAACCCUGGUGGAGGUCCGCAGCGAUUCUGACGUGCAAAUCGAUCGUACGAGCUGGGUUUAGGGGCGAAAGACCAAUCGAACCAUCUAGUAGCUGGUUCCCUCUGAAGUUUCCCUCAGGAUAGCUUGCGCUCGGUUGAGAAGAGUCUCAUCCGGUAGAGCGAAUGAUUAGAGGCCUUGGGGUCGAAACGACCUCAACCUAUUCUCAAACUCCAAAUAGAUGAGAACCCCGGCUUUCUUGAAAUCCAAUUCCAUGAAGCCGGGGGCUCGGAUCAGAGUGCAAAGUGGGCCAAUUUU